UACGUAGGGUGCAAGCGUUAAUCGGAAUUACUGGGCGUAAAGCGUGCGCAGGCGGUUUUGUAAGACUGUCGUGAAAUCCCCGGGCUUAACCUGGGAAUGGCGAUGGUGACUGCAAGGCUAGAGUUUGGCAGAGGGGGGUAGAAUUCCACGUGUAGCAGUGAAAUGCGUAGAGAUGUGGAGUAACACCGAUGGCGAAGGCAGCCCCCUGGGUCAAAACUGACGCUCAUGCACGAAAGCGUGGGGAGCAAACAGG
Molecule: ribosomal RNA, 253 nt
Filed under: uncultured bacterium
Lineage: Bacteria
Description: partial 16S ribosomal RNA
Rfam family: Bacterial small subunit ribosomal RNA
Source: RNAcentral